RNAcentral lists this ribosomal RNA (120 nucleotides) under Pteropus alecto (black flying fox). Lineage: Eukaryota; Metazoa; Chordata; Mammalia; Chiroptera; Pteropodidae. The record is from RNAcentral.
GGCUAUGCCCAUAGUCACCCUGAACAAGCCCGAUCUCGUCUGAUAUCAGACACUAAGCAGGGUCAGGCUUGGUUAGUACUUGGAUGGGAGACCACCUAGGAAGACCAGGUGCUAUAGGCA